This 407-nucleotide ribosomal RNA is filed under the name uncultured bacterium. RNAcentral's name for it is "partial 16S ribosomal RNA". It matches the Rfam family "Bacterial small subunit ribosomal RNA", at positions 30 to 526 of the family's 1533-position model. The record is from RNAcentral.
AUUGAACGCUGGCGGCAGGCCUAACACAUGCAAGUCGAGCGGAGCGGCAGACGGGUGAGUGCUGCCUAGGAAUCUGCCUGGUAGUGUGGGAUAACGUCCGGAAACGGGCGCUAAUACCGCAUACUAUCAGAUGAUCCUAGGUCGGAUUAGGUAGUUGGUGGGGUAAAGGCCUACCAAGGCGGCGAUCCGUAACUGGUCUGAGAGGCUGAUCAGUCACACUGGAACUGUGAAACGGUCCAGACUCCUACGGGAGGCAGCAGUGGGGAAUAUUGGACAAGGGGCGAAAGCCUGAUCCAGCCAUGCCGCGUGUGUGAAGAAGGUCUUCGGAUUGUAAAGCACUUUAAGUUGGGAGGCGUUACCAACAGAAUAAGCACCGGCUAACUUCGUGCCAGCAGCCGCGGUAAUUC